GUCUAGGGCCAUACCACCCUGAAUGCGCCUGAUCUCGUCUGAUGUCAGCAGCUAAGCAGGGUCGGGCCUGGUUAGUCCUUGGAUGGGAGAAAAGUGCUCUGCGAGUAUGUCACAGGGGAAACGGACGUAGUGGUAA
This is a ribosomal RNA of Ursus maritimus (polar bear), 136 nucleotides long. The record is from Ensembl. Lineage: Eukaryota; Metazoa; Chordata; Mammalia; Carnivora; Ursidae.